CUUUCAGGUCCGUUGUACCUUCCAUCUACAUGCUCAACGUGUAGAGUGAAGGUGAAAAGCAUGAGAAUUAUUUGAAUGUAAUCUUUGACAUGAUCAGAAGAAAAUAGUUUUGGUUAAAGUUUGGUUGAUUUUCAUAUGAAAGACACUGGAGGAUUUCCUGAAACAACUAAGCAGACUCUGGCGGUCUUGUGAUUUCGUCCCUUGACGCUCUGAGAAGUUACCACAGUAUCACCAUACAGCUGUUCACACUGUACCAGAUGCUGACGAUGAGUGCUGGCAGGUGGAUUUUCCUCUUAGCCCUGUGCUUCACGCAUGUGGAUUCAAAAAAUGAGCGUUUAAACAAAGAAGAAGAUGUCUUGUGGGAUAGUCAAUGUGAACCACGGUCACUCAUCAGGGCUCCUCUGGGUUCGUCUGUGUUCCUACCGUGCAACAUAUCAACAAGUAGCCAAAACUGGGUGACAUGGACCCACAAUGACGAGGCAGACCUGGCAAAGCUCUACUUUGACGGCGCGUCAACUUCCUGGACCCCAGAGAUGGCAGAGUGAAAGUUUUUCCAAACCAGAUCUUAGGGAGGGACUUCUCCAUCCGCAUCGAUGAGCUUUACACCUCUGACCUGGGCAACUAUUACUGCAUACAGGGAGAUUACUGUCAAAAAGUGGAGUUGUGUGCUGAUGGUACACUGAGCACGGAGAUGUUGCUACUGAUUUUCAUCAGUGCUGGGGUGGCUGCGCUCAUCCUGCUAAGUGUUGCUGGAUACUUCUGCUGCAAGAA
Acanthochromis polyacanthus (spiny chromis) is the source of this 771-nucleotide long non-coding RNA. RefSeq lists it as uncharacterized. NCBI's taxonomy places the organism in Eukaryota, Metazoa, Chordata, Actinopteri, Pomacentridae. The transcript has 3 exons. The record is from RefSeq and is a predicted model, not a curated record.